GAUGAACGCUGGCGGCGUGCCUAAUACAUGCAAGUCGAACGCUGGAACUCUAGCUUGCUAGAUUGAAGGAGUGGCGAACGGGUGAGUAAUACAUAAGCAACCUACCCACGAAGACUGGGAUAAUCUCUGGAGACGGGGACUAAUACCGGAUAGGUAAUCGGAAGGCAUCUUCUGAUUAUUAAAGGUUAAAAACACUGGUGGAUGGGCUUAUGGCGCAUUAGUUAGUUGGUGAGGUAACGGCCCACCAAGACGAUGAUGCGUAGCCGGCCUGAGAGGGUGAACGGCCACAUUGGGACUGAGACACGGCCCAGACUCCUACGGGAGGCAGCAGUAGGGAAUUUUCGGCAAUGGGGGAAACCCUGACCGAGCAACGCCGCGUGAGUGAUGACGGCCUUCGGGGUGUAAAGCUAUGUUGUAAGGGAAGAACGGUAGAUAGAGAAUAUCUAAAUGACGGUACCUUACCAGAAAGCCACGGCUAACUACGUG
This 486-nucleotide ribosomal RNA is filed under the name uncultured bacterium. RNAcentral's name for it is "partial 16S ribosomal RNA". It matches the Rfam family "Bacterial small subunit ribosomal RNA", at positions 28 to 507 of the family's 1533-position model. The record is from RNAcentral.